GACGAACGCUGGCGGUGUGCUUAACACAUGCAAGUCGAACGGUAAGGCCCUUUCGGGGGUACACGAGUGGCGAACGGGUGCGUAACACGUGAGUAACCUGCCCUCAUCUCUGGGAUAACAGUCGGAAACGGCUGCUAAUACUGGAUAUGAGCUUGCAAGGCAUCUUGUGGGUUGGAAAGAUUUUUUUGGUUGGGGAUGGACUCGCGGCCUAUCAGCUUGUUGGUGAGGUAGUGGCUCACCAAGGCUUCGACGGGUAGCCGGCCUGAGAGGGCGACCGGCCACAUUGGGACUGAGAUACGGCCCAAACUCCUACGGGAGGCAGCAGUGGGGAAUAUUGCACAAUGGACGGAAGUCUGAUGCAGCAACGCCGCGGGCGGGAUGACGGCCUUCGGGUUGUAAACCGCUUUCAAUUGUGACGAAGCUUUUUGUGACGGUAGCAGUAGAAGAAGCACCGGCUAACUACGUG
This 466-nucleotide ribosomal RNA is filed under the name uncultured bacterium. RNAcentral's name for it is "partial 16S ribosomal RNA". It matches the Rfam family "Bacterial small subunit ribosomal RNA", at positions 28 to 507 of the family's 1533-position model. The record is from RNAcentral.